UGGGGAAUUUUGGACAAUGGGCGAAAGCCUGAUCCAGCAAUGCCGCGUGUGUGAAGAAGGCCUUCGGGUUGUAAAGCACUUUUGUCCGGAAAGAAAUCCUUGGCUCUAAUACAGUCGGGGGAUGACGGUACCGGAAGAAUAAGCACCGGCUAACUACGUGCCAGCAGCCGCGGUAAUACGUAGGGUGCAAGCGUUAAUCGGAAUUACUGGGCGUAAAGCGUGCGCAGGCGGUUUGCUAAGACCGAUGUGAAAUCCCCGGGCUCAACCUGGGAACUGCAUUGGUGACUGGCAGGCUAGAGUAUGGCAGAGGGGGGUAGAAUUCCACGUGUAGCAGUGAAAUGCGUAGAGAUGUGGAGGAAUACCGAUGGCGAAGGCAGCCCCCUGGGCCAAAUACUGACGCUCAUGCACGAAAGCGUGGGGAGCAAAACAGGAUUAGAUACCCUGGUAGUCCACGCCCUAAAACGAUGUCAACUAGUUGUUGGGGAUUCAUUUCCUUAGUAACGUAGCUAACGCGUGAAGUUGACCGCCUGGGGAGUACGGUCGCAAGAUUAAAACUCAAAGGAAUUGACGGGGUCAUAGCUGUUUCC
Molecule: ribosomal RNA, 587 nt
Filed under: uncultured bacterium
Lineage: Bacteria
Description: partial 16S ribosomal RNA
Rfam family: Bacterial small subunit ribosomal RNA
Source: RNAcentral